This 76-nucleotide transfer RNA is filed under the name Kiritimatiellia bacterium. RNAcentral describes it as "Kiritimatiellae bacterium (gut metagenome) tRNA-Phe". It matches the Rfam family "tRNA". Rfam says of the family: Transfer RNA (tRNA) molecules are approximately 80 nucleotides in length. Their secondary structure includes four short double-helical elements and three loops (D, anti-codon, and T loops). Further hydrogen bonds mediate the characteristic L-shaped molecular structure. tRNAs have two regions of fundamental functional importance: the anti-codon, which is responsible for specific mRNA codon recognition, and the 3' end, to which the tRNAs corresponding amino acid is attached (by aminoacyl-tRNA synthetases). tRNAs cope with the degeneracy of the genetic code in two manners: having more than one tRNA (with a specific anti-codon) for a particular amino acid; and 'wobble' base-pairing, i.e. permitting non-standard base-pairing at the 3rd anti-codon position. Lineage: Bacteria; Pseudomonadati; Kiritimatiellota; Kiritimatiellia. The record is from RNAcentral.
GGCGAGAUAGCUCAGUUGGUCGAGCAGGGGACUGAAAAUCCCCGUGUCGGGGGUCCGAUUCCCUCUCUCGCCACCA